GCCUAAUGCAUGCAAGUCGAACGGGAUCCCUUAGAUUCGUCUGAGGGUGAGAGUGGCGAACGGGUGAGUAACACGUUGGUGACCUGCCCCAGAGAGGGGGAUAACCAGUGGAAACGCUGGCUAAUACCCCGGAUGUCGAGGUGUUUAGAAAGCCUUGACUAAAGCUCCGGCGCUCUGGGAGGGGCCUGCGGCCCAUCAGCUAGUUGGUAAGGUAAUGGCUUACCAAGGCGAAGACGGGUAGGGGGCGUGAGAGCGUGACCCCCCACACUGGUACUGACACACGGACCAGAUACCUGCGGGUAGCAGCAGCAAGGAAUAUUGCCCAAUGGACGAAAGUCUGAGGCAGCAACGCCGCGUGGAGGAUGAAGGCUUUCGGGUUGUAAACUCCUUUUAUGGGGGAAGAGAAUGGACGGUACCCCAUGAAUAAGAUCCGGCUAACUACGUGCCAGCAGCCGCGGUAAAACGUAGGGAUCGACCGUUAUCCGGAUUUACUGGGCGUCAAGCGCGUGCAGGCGGUUUUUUACAGUCGGCACGUGAAAGCUCCUGGCUCAACUGGGAGAGGCCGUUCGAAACUAGAAGACUUGAGGGUGGUAGAGGCAAGUGGAAUUCCUGGUGUAGUGGUGAAAUGCGUAGAUAUCGGGAGG
RNAcentral lists this ribosomal RNA (644 nucleotides) under uncultured bacterium. RNAcentral describes it as "bacterial SSU rRNA". It matches the Rfam family "Bacterial small subunit ribosomal RNA", at positions 46 to 704 of the family's 1533-position model. The record is from RNAcentral.